CAGAGCUGGCGGGGAGCACUCCCAGGGAGCCCAGGCCAGAGCUGGGGGCUCUGACACUGACCGGAGGAGCACAGGGGUCACUCCGGGGCUGCAGAGCCAGCUCAGGCGACGAACACAGGCCCAGACUGCCACUGAGCUUAUGGCCCAGAGAAUUCAGAGCCCUGGGCUUGGGUCUCUUCCAGGAAUUCCGAGUCUACUCAGGCACCUGGUACCUGAUGGAUUGGAGAAUUCGUUCAUCUACAGAAAGCCCGGGAGGGAGAUAAGAAGAUACCUACAUUUCUUACGAUUUCCUUGGAGCCGAAGACAUCAGCUAUGAACUCGAAUGUCUUCCUGCUGAAGGAGUCAUCUCUGCAGAAAAAGCCCCUCACUACUCUGUACCCCGUGGUCCUGCAGCCAUCCGCAUCACCGGAGGAGCCCGCUUUCUUGGCCUCAUGCACC
Long non-coding RNA from Myotis myotis, 438 nucleotides. RefSeq lists it as uncharacterized. The record is from RefSeq and is a predicted model, not a curated record. NCBI's taxonomy places the organism in Eukaryota, Metazoa, Chordata, Mammalia, Chiroptera, Vespertilionidae. The transcript is spliced from 3 exons.